UAAGCAUAUCAAUAAGCGGAGGAAAAGAAACCAACAGGGAUUGCCUUAGUAACGGCGAGUGAAGCGGCAACAGCUCAAAUUUGAAAUCUGGCCCUUGGGUCCGAAUUGUAAUUUGUAGAGGAUGAUUUUGGUGCGGUAUCUUCCGAGUUCCUUGGAACAGGACGCCUUAGAGGGUGAGAGCCCCGUACGGUUGAAUGCCUAGCCUCUGUAAAUCUCCUUCGACGAGUCGAGUAGUUUGGGAAUGCUGCUCUAAAUGGGAGGUAAAUUUCUUCUAAAGCUAAAUAUUGGCCAGAGACCGAUAGCGCACAAGUAGAGUGAUCGAAAGAUGAAAAGCACUUUGAAAAGAGGGUUAAAUAGCACGUGAAAUUGUUGAAAGGGAAGGAUUUGUGACCAGACUUUUUCUGGGCGGAUCAUCCGGGGUUCUCUCCGGUGCACUUUGCCCAGUAAAGGCCAGCAUCGGUUUUCGGCGGGGGAUAAAAGCAGUAGGAAUGUGGCUCUCUACGGGGAGUGUUAUAGCCUAUUGUAUAAUACCCUGCUGGGGACCGAGGUACGCGCUUCUGCAAGGAUGCUGGCGUAAUGGUUAUCAAUCACCCGUCUUGAAACACGGACCAAGGAGUCGAACAUUUGUGCGAGUGUUUGGGUGUUAAACCCUCACGCGUAAUGAAAGUGAACGGAGGUGAGAGCCCUUACGGGUGCAUCAUCGACCGAUCCUGAAGUUUUCGGAUGGAUUUGAGUAAGAGCAUAACUGUUCGGACCCGAAAGAUGGUGAACUAUGCGUGGAUAGGGUGAAGCCAGAGGAAACUCUGGUGGAGGCUCGCAGCGGUUCUGACGUGCAAAUCGAUCGUCAAAUCUGCGCAUGGGGGCGAAAGACUAAUCGAACCAUCUAGUAGCUGGUUACC
RNAcentral lists this ribosomal RNA (899 nucleotides) under Pseudopestalotiopsis sp. CBS 387.97. Its description in RNAcentral is "LSU rRNA". It matches the Rfam family "Eukaryotic large subunit ribosomal RNA", at positions 35 to 959 of the family's 3401-position model. The record is from RNAcentral. Lineage: Eukaryota; Fungi; Ascomycota; Sordariomycetes; Amphisphaeriales; Sporocadaceae.